This 490-nucleotide ribosomal RNA is filed under the name uncultured bacterium. RNAcentral describes it as "bacterial SSU rRNA". It matches the Rfam family "Bacterial small subunit ribosomal RNA", at positions 43 to 507 of the family's 1533-position model. The record is from RNAcentral.
CGUGCCUAACACAUGCAAGUCGAACGCGAAAGGCCCCUUCGGGGGUCGAUUAGAGUGGCGAACGGGUGAGUAACACGUGGGUAAACCUGCCUUUGAGUGGGGGACAACAGCUCGAAAGGGCUGCUAAUACCGCAUAAGGCCCCAGUUUCCCUGGAAACUAGGGUGAAAGGUGGCCUCUCCUUGGAAGCUACCGCUUGAAGAUGGGCCCGCGGACCAUUAGCUUGUUGGUAGGGUAACGGCCUACCAAGGCUACGAUGGUUAGCUGGUCUGAGAGGAUGGAUCAGCCACACUGGAACUGAGACACGGUCCAGACUCCUACGGGAGGCAGCAGUGGGGAAUCUUGGACAAUGGGGGAAACCCUGAUCCAGCAACGUCGUGUGAGUGAUGAAGGUUUUCGAAUCGUGAAGCUCUGUCAGUGGGGAAGAACCCAACAAGCAUCAGAUCCUUGUUGUUGACGGUACCUACAAAGGAAGCACCGGCUAACUCCGUG